RNAcentral lists this long non-coding RNA (802 nucleotides) under Androctonus crassicauda. The record is from RNAcentral. Lineage: Eukaryota; Metazoa; Arthropoda; Arachnida; Scorpiones; Buthidae.
UUUAAUAUUAAAUGAAUAUUGUCCCAUAAUUCAAUUUUUUUACAUUUUAUGGAUAUUCAGGAAAAUUUAUUUCUAAACUACCUAAUUAAUCAGGAAUCUACUAUAGUUUAUAUUUUGCAUUAACAUAGAUGAUGAUUAGUGCUAAGAUAACCUUUAAUUAUUAAGUCCAUUGAUCUUUGGUUCUCUUAAGUGGAAAAUCACACAUUUCAACCAGAAAACUGUGGAAGCAUGAUGCCUAUUAUCCAAGUGUAUGAUCUACCAUCCUGGUAGAUUUGGGGUCAAUUCCUAGACUUAUAUCCAAAUUUUUUUCAAUGAAACUUUAGAUCUCGCUUGUUGAAUCCUAUUCUUAGUCUCAUAGCUGAUCCUAUUAUGAGUAUAAGAAGUAUAUAGUGAAUGCAGGAAUAGGCUGCAGUUUAUCACUGGCAGGAAAGCAAUAUAAAACAAGAAAAAAUUUCAUCACUAGUGUAGGUGGCCACUACACUAAUGAUGAAUAUCAAUACUAGUGUAGUACUAGUGUAUGAUGGGCAUUUAAAAUGCUCUCUCUCUUAAAAUCUAGAAUUGAAAAUGAUAAAAUGUUAGAAAAAAUGGUAGUGAAGGACUUUUGGAAAACCUUCAAUAUAUCAGCAAUAUAUAUUUCUUUUGGCAGAUGCCCUUCAUUUUUGGGGACAACAAUGAAAGGCAUCUGCCAAAAAACAAUCUAUGAUGACAAAAGUUUGCUCUUUCAUUACAGAUAUUCAGGACUCAAAUACCACUCUAAAAGUUGAUCCUGUUGCCUAAGCAACAAAAAUUUUGGGUAUUAUGG